This is a long non-coding RNA of Herpailurus yagouaroundi (jaguarundi), 1006 nucleotides long. RefSeq lists it as uncharacterized. The record is from RefSeq and is a predicted model, not a curated record. NCBI's taxonomy places the organism in Eukaryota, Metazoa, Chordata, Mammalia, Carnivora, Felidae. The transcript is spliced from 3 exons.
AACCUGACGCGGGGCUUGAACCCAUGAACCGUGAGAUCAUGACCUGCGCCGACAUCAAGAGUCGCCACCAAGACCCGCCCCUCCGAUGGCAAUCUGGCAAUACGGAGACGAGCUGCAUGACCCAGCGAUCCGCGCUCAGGACGGACCCUAGAGAAACGCACACGUAUGUACCCGGAGGCAGUGUAAGAAGGCUGGCCGCGGCCUGGUCUGUCGUGACGAAAAUUCCAAGCAACCGAAAUACCCCAGGAUGCAAGCCCUGAUGGCCCACAAGAGGGAGAUCUAGAACAGUUCAGCAACCAGAUGUGUAACUGUAUAAACCGAUCUAAGGACACACAGCAUCUUGGGAAGCUUUGCAGGAGCAAAGGGCGCUGAUAGAGGCUCCCGCCUGCCCUCUGUCUAAGGCAAGCACCCUUUGAACGCGUUCAGAAAUCUGCAGAGCAACCGCUCACGGUGAAGAAGACAUACCACAGGGUGCGAUGGUAAACUGAACGGUGUUUAAAACGUGCGGUUUAAUGAGAUGGUUGCAGAGUAAAAAGCAACAUGGCAGCAAGAGGAAAAUCGAUCAGUGGAGUGCAGAAGCACAGGGGACAGACAGUGUCCUCGGGGACCUGUGGCCAGGUGCUUGGGGUCUGCGACCUUGGAAGGGCCCAGGAAACCCGAAGCUCCUGCUGCUUGUUCACGGAACACUGAGAAAUGCGGACAUAGCUGUUCUUAUCACUGCAGCUACAAACAGUACGGCUAGUGAUAAGCAUGGCUAUCUUACAGCUGUCAUUCAAACUUACCAUUAGAAGCUUCCCCUAUAAAGAUUAUAACCGGGUACAGUGAGUUUCAAGCUUUUCUGUGAACAUUUCUGCUACUUGUUCAUUCCUUUCAAUCAGGUGCCAAAGGUUUUAUCAAAAAUUGUGAAGGGUACAUAAAUUAAGAAUAGUCAUUGGCUGGGGCGCCUGGGUGGCUCAGUCGGUUGAGUGUCUGACUUUAGCUCAGGUCAUGAUCUCACGGUCCAUGA